RNAcentral lists this ribosomal RNA (482 nucleotides) under uncultured bacterium. RNAcentral's name for it is "bacterial SSU rRNA". It matches the Rfam family "Bacterial small subunit ribosomal RNA", at positions 29 to 506 of the family's 1533-position model. The record is from RNAcentral.
UUGAACGCUGGCGGAAUGCUUUACACAUGCAAGUCGGGCGGCAGCGCGGGGGCAACCCUGGCGGCGAGCGGCGAACGGGUGAGUAACAUAUCGGAACGUACCCGGACGUGGGGGACAACUAGUCGAAAGACUAGCUAAUACCGCAUACGUCCUGAGGGAGAAAGCGGGGGAUCGCAAGACCUCGCGCGUUUGGAGCGGCCGAUAUCUGAUUAGCUAGAUGGUGGGGUAAAGGCCCACCAUGGCGACGAUCAGUAGCUGGUCUGAGAGGAUGAUCAGCCACACUGGAACUGAGACACGGUCCAGACUCCUAAGGGAGGCAGCAGUGGGGAAUUUUGGACAAUGGGGGAAACCCUGAUCCAGCCAUUCCGCGUGAGUGAAGAAGGCCUUCGGGUUGUAAAGCUCUUUCGGCAGGAACGAAACGGCGGAAUCUAAUACAUUCCACUAAUGACGGUACCUGAAGAAGAAGCACCGGCUAACUACGU